This is a long non-coding RNA of Ipomoea triloba (trilobed morning glory), 2309 nucleotides long. RefSeq lists it as uncharacterized. Lineage: Eukaryota; Viridiplantae; Streptophyta; Magnoliopsida; Solanales; Convolvulaceae. The record is from RefSeq and is a predicted model, not a curated record. The transcript is spliced from 4 exons.
UUUGAUGAUCACUUAUUCCCUUUCCCUGAAUAAAUAGAUGAUUCAAAAUUCAAAUAAAGAUUUUUCUUUUGGUCAAAAUAGAAAUAGGGUUUGAAAUAAUAAAAUUCUUUCGGUUUCAAAAUUCUUUUUUAAAAUUUUUUUGAACCCGAGCACGAGGUCUUAAUCGGCAUAUCGAAAUUAUUGUACGUCAAAUCACAUCAAACGUGUUGGUUUUUGAAGACGGAAUGCGUUUUUUCACCUGGAGAACUUAUUAGAUUAUUGCGAGCGUAUUAGGCCAAUGGCUGGCUAAUGAUUGGCCAUUAAGUGAAAGAGAUCAACCCCUACCUCCACACUGCCAGAGCAUGGAGGCCACGGAAAUUAAGGAAAAAAUUUGCAGGUGAGAGUCCAAAUGAGAUCACAAAGGAUGGGAAAAGAGUGGCAAGGUCUCAAAUCAAAUUACAUUGCUCCAAUUACAGACAGUCUGGACACAAUAGCAGGAGAUGUCCUAAUGAUCCAUCUUUGACAAAAAAAUUGAAUAAUCCAAGGAGAAGGGUGAGAUCCAAGAGGCCAAAACCAGUUGAGAACACCACUGUUGAGCACAAUUCUGAGCAAAUGUUAGCCACUUCAUUACAGAGCAGAAGGGUUGGGAUUUUCAAGCCCUUGAGCAACGCCAUCAUGGACAUUAGGGCGGUUCCUUUACCGCUCGUAGGUACUCAGCAGGAUGCCCUUGUUUGGCCGCAUUCGGAAUCAGGUAAGUUCUCAGUUGCUUCGGCUUUCUCUUUCAUUUCAGGUCAAGAAGAAUCGGAGGCGUUACAUGCUUGGAUUUGGAGACUUAAUUGCAUGGAGAAAGUGAAGCUGUUCAUCUGGAAAAUCGCCUCCAAUGGUCUCCUAGUCAACUACGAAUGAAGAAGACGUGGCCUAAGCUGUUCAUCUGGAAAAUCGCCUCCAAUGGUCUCCUAGUCAACUACGAAUGAAGAAGACGUGGCCUUGCGGAAGUAGCAGAUUGCCCGCGUUGCAGAUCAGGAGACGAAGACUUGGAUCACCUUUUCAGACAUUGCGACUUCGCGUCAAGCUGCUGGGACAUUGCAACCCCGCCACCAGGAGUUACUACGAGCUUCCAUAUGCCUAUCACCAAGUGGAUCGAACAAGGUUGUACCAAUACUCAACAAUGUGGGCUUGGAAUGAGCUGGAAGUUAUGCCUCUCGUACAUCCUUUGGAACAUCUGGAAAGCAAGAAAUAAUGACGUUCAACGGCAUCGUCAUGCAGCCGAGCGAGGUGAUGAAUCACGCCAAGAGGGAGGCAACCGAGGCAAUACACCUUCUCACAAAGCAUAAUGGUUCGCUCCGUGCGAGUCAGAUUUGGGUUUCUUGGUCUCUUCCGGGUCCUGAUGCCGUCAAACUAAACACAGACGGCGCUAGAAAGACGACAUCGGGCUUGGCCAGUGCAGGGGGGUUAAUCCGGGCUCACCACGGUAAUUGGAUUGUCGGCUUCGGGAUCACCACGGUAAUUGGAUUGUCGGCUUCUCUUCAAAAAUUGGGAAUGCGAGAAGGCCUUUUAGUUGCAAAGAAUAGAGGGUUUGGGAACCUUUCUAUUGAGUCGGACUUUGAAGCUCUUAUUAGUGCCCUUGGAAAUGAUUGGAGUAAUUCUAUGGAAGCUAAGACAUUGAUCUCGGACUGUAAGUCCCUUAUGGACUCCUUUCACUAGGUCAACAUCAACCACGUGCUCCGAGAAGGUAAUCAAUGUGCAGACUGUUUAGCCAAUAUUGGGCAAACCUCAGACUGGGGUACGACGUUCUGGGAAGAUCCUCCAGAGGUCCUGCAAGUGCUGCUUGAUCGUGAUAAGCGUCAGAUUGCGACUAGUAGACGACGCUAAAGUGCUGUUUCGCUGUUUGGGGUCCCUGACCCCUUCCGCUCACCAAAAAAAAGUAUUUACCUAGUUGUAUUCACUUCAAUAGUUUCAUGGAUUGAUAUUACCUUUUUGUAGAAUAAUCCAAGGAGAAGGGUGAGAUCCAAAGGCCAAAACCAGUUGAGAACACCACUGUUGAGCACAAUUCUGAGCAAAUGAAUAAUCCAAGGAGAAGGGUGAGAUCCAGUAGGCCACAACCAGAUGAGAGCAUCACUGUUGAGCACAAUGCCGAGCAAAUGAUAAAGAUUUUUUUUUUUUCAGUUUAUUGUGCUUUAAAGUUGUGUUUAGUUCAUUGUAUAAAUGUAUUAUGCUCCAAUUCAUUUCAUUUUACCCUUAUGAGAACACUACAGAGCCACCAAUGGACCAGACUGUUGAGCCAAGUGUUUACAUCCCAGUUCCAACAGAAACCCAUGAUGAUUUUGAGA